Molecule: long non-coding RNA, 1434 nt
Organism: Stegodyphus dumicola
Lineage: Eukaryota; Metazoa; Arthropoda; Arachnida; Araneae; Eresidae
Source: RefSeq, a predicted model, not a curated record
CAUGCUUUUGCAUGCUUAUUAUCAUCUGAGAGGAUAUGAAUUGAAUGAUUAUCUUACAAUUUUUUUCUUCUUUAAAGGUGCUGUAAUUUUUGUAUGCGCGAUAAACUUGAUGUACUGCAAUUUUUAUCCUGGUACAAGCUGUUCUGUGUACAGGCUUUAGAUUUUGAAAGAAUUCGAGCUAUCCAAACUGACUUUACGGUCUAUGACAGAUACCAAAAGAGGUAUUCUACAAAUGCUUUAAAGAAAUGCCAGGAGCUUUGGACUACAUGCAUGCACUUCAAAUAAUCACCUCGAAGGUAAGAAGACUGGUAACAUUUUGAAAAGGAUUCUGAUCUGAAAGAAAUCAAUUAUCUUCUUUUUUUAAGGAUCAGCACUCUGCAUACAGUGAUGGACAGAUAAGAGAAUUCAUGAAGACCCCUUCUCCAAAUUCUAGGUUGAUGAAAAUCAAAACUAGAGCAAGAACUUUUCUUCCCUACCAACCUUUGUACGAAACAACAGAACUGUGCCAUCUAUUUUCAACGAGCAUUGCAUUAAUUUGUUUAGCUUAAUUAAUUAUAAAUUUUACUUGAUGUCAUUUACUAUCGCGUGUUUUGUCUGAAAUGGCAUAGAUAGUAGUCAAUCUUUGUAUGUAAAUAUUUAAUCCAAUGCUAAAGAACACAGUUCUUUGGCUUCUCACUAUUAUUGCUUUCAAGUUAUGAAUGUCUUAUAAUAUGUUGAAGCCAUUCUUGUUUAGGUUACAAAAAUUCAGAAAAUACUCUAGUUUUCUAAAAUGAUAUUAACACAAAAAUACACUUUAACAACAUUUAAUUAUGAGCGUAGUAUGUAUGCGGAAAAAUUCAAAUAUAGUGUCAGAAAAAUGAUAGUCUGUUUGGUUGAAAAGCACAUGUAAGAGUGUUAUAAGUGUGUAUACGAGUAGGAAAUGCUUUCAGGAGUGGUUUGCUUGAGAAAAAUUUGGUUUCAGAGCGUAACUGAUGUGUGAACUUUACUUUAUGAAUGUGAGUAAAGUUACGUUUGGAAUGUGUUGCAAUGUGCCUGAGUUUGCUUUUUGAGUGUAUUUGGUGUGCAGUGACGUACUGACUAUUGAUUUAUAUUUGCUUAUAUAUUUAGUGAGUGUUUUGUAUGUUUUCUAUUUUCUUUGCUUUUUUUGUAGACAAUGAAGUGCAGCGGGUGAGUAAAACAAAUUCGUUACUUCAGUUUAUUAUCUAUGGCCUAUUCAUGCUUUCAGUUUUUACUUUUUCUUAAAGGUUUUAUAAUUAUGACUGAUAUUAUAAAUAUGUUUUAUUAAUAAAAUGCUCCAUUAAAAUAAUUAUAAAUAUUUCAAAAAUUUGUUUAACAUAAUAAAAAACACAAAUGCUUAUUUUUUAACUGUUAAAAUUCCUGUUGUUCCAUAAAAUAACCUUAAAAUCAUUUUUUCGUAAUAUUAGCUUUAUUGCA